RNAcentral lists this ribosomal RNA (985 nucleotides) under Elphidium sp. S13. RNAcentral describes it as "SSU rRNA". It matches the Rfam family "Eukaryotic small subunit ribosomal RNA", at positions 1160 to 1816 of the family's 1831-position model. The record is from RNAcentral. Lineage: Eukaryota; Foraminifera; Rotaliida; Elphidiidae.
AAGGGCACCACAAGAACGCGUGGAUCAUGUGGCUUAAUUUGACUCAACGCGGGAAAUCUUACCGGGUCCGGACACACUGAGGAUUGACAGGUUCCGAGAGAUUUUUGCAUUUGCAAAUUCUCUCUUAAAUAUGCUAGUCCUUUCAUGAUUAUGUGAUAGGUGGUGCAUGGCCGUUCUUAGUUCGUGGAGUGAUCUGUCUGCUUAAUUGCGUUUCACUAAAGGCGUCAUAUCAUUUUUGUGCUUGUGUUUGACCCCUCUUUUCGGAGAGCGCGUGUCUUCACACACAAUUACCUUGGCGUCUGAAAGCAACGAACGUGACCGUAACCUCUUGUUGCCUUCUUUUCUUUAUUGAAUGCUGUUUCAUUCUCUUUUGGGAGUGCUCAGUAUAUGGAGGCUUUUUUCACCAACAACUAGAGGGACCGCUGUUACUUUCUUUAAACCAGAGGAAGGUUGCGGCAAUAACAGGUCUGUGAUGCCCUUAGAUGUUCCGGGCUGCACACGUGAUACAUUGAUUACUUCAGUGAGUAUCUACGUUUUAACUGCGUGGCUUUACAAAUUUUUAUUUUCUUCGGAAGGUAAUUUUUUGUUUGCCGCCUCAACCUGCUUCGAAAGUAUGUGGGUAACCAAUUAGAAGUAGUGAUUUCCUUUUUUUUAUAAGCACACUUAUAUGGAGCAUCAUCACCCGGCAUACCUUGUUGUAUGUUUUUGUGUGUGUUGUUUGCUUUUCCAUGUGCUUUUGUCAAUUCAUAGUGGGGACAGACCAUUGUUAAUUGUUGGUCUCGGUCUUAACUAGGAAUGCCUUGUACGAGUUUUUGGUUCAACAAACCACUCGGAAUACGUCCCUGCCCUUUGUACACACCGCCCGUCGCUCUUACCGAUGGAUUAUAUUAUGAGUAGGCAGGACUGUUUCUUCUAUAGGAAAUGCCCGCGAGUAAUGUGAUCUAAAGGAAAGAGAAGUCGUAACAAGGCAUCNGUAGGUGAACCU